ACCUUUAAGGCAUGAAAUAAAAUAUCUGAAUGGAACCCUCAAUUUAUGGGUCUCCACUUCCAAAAAAUAAUUUAUAUUUUGUUUUUUGAAACAUAAAAAUCAGUUGUAUAUUUACAGUUUUAAAACAUUAAAUGUAGAAUGUUAAGUAGAAAGAACAAAAAACAAUGUCUGUUUGUAGAUAUAUUAGUAAAAUAUUAGAUGGAUUUCAUAUUAUUAUGAAUUAUUUAUGAAAAUUUUUAAUAAUUAAAUUAAGAUAAAUAACUGUUAUUGCUACAAUUUUAUUAUACUUUAAAAGCGCAUAAAUUCUGUUUAAGUGUUUUAAUUCGAACCUUUUAAGAUUUAUUUGUUAAAUAUUUAAAUUCAGAUUUUUAUUAAAAUUCACAAAAUAGAUCAUUUUUGUAAAUUUUUUUUUUUUUCAAACAUGGUCCCGAAAAUUUCAGGUCUGACUCUGUUUAGGAAACUAGAAUAAUGAUCAGUGUGGAGAAGUAUAUUGCACAAUUAUGUUAACAAAUAAUUUGUGCAUAAUUAUGGAAAUAAUAUAUCACGUUAAUUAAGCCUUUUAGCCUUAUAGAGAGUAUGUUUAGAUAGAUAAAAU
RNAcentral lists this long non-coding RNA (595 nucleotides) under Brassica napus (rape). Its description in RNAcentral is "long non-coding RNA (BNAP_LNC022267)". Lineage: Eukaryota; Viridiplantae; Streptophyta; Magnoliopsida; Brassicales; Brassicaceae. The record is from RNAcentral.